Molecule: ribosomal RNA, 425 nt
Filed under: uncultured bacterium
Lineage: Bacteria
Description: partial 16S ribosomal RNA
Rfam family: Bacterial small subunit ribosomal RNA
Source: RNAcentral
GUGGGGAAUCUUGCGCAAUGGGCGAAAGCCUGACGCAGCCAUGCCGCGUGAAUGAUGAAGGUCUUAGGAUUGUAAAAUUCUUUCACCGGGGACGAUAAUGACGGUACCCGGAGAAGAAGCCCCGGCUAACUUCGUGCCAGCAGCCGCGGUAAUACGAAGGGGGCUAGCGUUGCUCGGAAUUACUGGGCGUAAAGGGCGCGUAGGCGGACAGUUUAGUCAGAGGUGAAAGCCCAGGGCUCAACCUUGGAAUUGCCUUUGAUACUGGCUGUCUUGAGUACGGGAGAGGUGAGUGGAACUCCGAGUGUAGAGGUGAAAUUCGUAGAUAUUCGGAAGAACACCAGUGGCGAAGGCGACUCACUGGCCCGUUACUGACGCUGAGGCGCGAAAGCGUGUGGAGCAAACAGGAUUAGAUACCCGUGUAGUCC